RNAcentral lists this ribosomal RNA (481 nucleotides) under uncultured bacterium. RNAcentral describes it as "partial 16S ribosomal RNA". It matches the Rfam family "Bacterial small subunit ribosomal RNA", at positions 28 to 523 of the family's 1533-position model. The record is from RNAcentral.
GACGAACGCUGGCGGCGUGCUUAACACAUGCAAGUCGAGCGGAAAGGCCACUUCGGUGGUACUCGAGCGGCGAACGGGUGAGUAACACGUGAGUAAUCUGCCCCUGGCUUUGGGAUAGCCACCGGAAACGGUGAUUAAUACCGGAUACGACCACUUCUCGCAUGGGAUGGUGGUGGAAAGUUUUUUCGGCCAGGGAUGUGCUCGCGGCCUAUCAGCUUGAUGGUGGGGUAAUGGCUCACCAUGGCUUCGACGGGUAGCCGGCCUGAGAGGGUGGCGGGUCACACUGGGACUGGGGCCAGGCCCGGACUCCUCCGGGAGGAAGCAUGGGGGAAUAUUGGACAAUGGGCGGAAGCGUGAUCCAGCAACGCCGCGUGAGGGAUGACGGCCUUCGGGUUGUAAACCUCUUUCAGCAGGGACGAAGCGCAAGUGACGGUACCUGCAGAAGAAGCACCGGCCAACUACGUGCCAGCCGCCGCAGUAA